Molecule: RNA transcript, 1163 nt
Organism: Folsomia candida
Lineage: Eukaryota; Metazoa; Arthropoda; Collembola; Entomobryomorpha; Isotomidae
Exons: 4
Source: RefSeq, a predicted model, not a curated record
AAAGAUUGAAAGGAAAGAUUGAAACAAAGAUUUUUACAUCGACCAUAACAAUCGAUUAAAAAAUGAAUGAUGAAAGAAAUAUUCAUGCAUUAUUCAUUUAUUUUAAAAUCAGAAUAAAAUAUUUGUUCAAUAUUCAUUAAAUUUUCGAAUAUUGAAUGAAUAAUUUAUUUAUUCAUCAUUAACUGAAUGAAUGUUAACAUGUAUGCCAACUUACACCUAUGGUUUACCAGGACCGACAACGAGGUACGCGUCUGAUGCCGAGGACCACCAAAUGUUUUCCUACAGUGAACAAGUAGUUGCGAACCUUGACAUCGCACGAGCUAUCACGAUGAUGUUUACGGACAACAAAGGCAUCGAGUUUGUCACGGCGACCUAUGAUUUGUCGGGCAGCAAUAUUCGGAGUGGGAGCACUUCACUGGGCGUGUUCGCUUCAAGGUAUCGCCACACGCCUCUGCCAUACACCGCAUUGGGAAGAAAUUGGGCUUUUUGCGGUGCGCAGACUCUUACCGUGAAUAUCACGGGAGGUGGAACUGUGACAAUGAAAAAGGUUAAAGUUUCUUGCUGGGGAUGCUGUUUUUUUGCCUGUUGUUGCAGAGGGUCUUACGAGAUAUUAGUUAAUGGGGAGAAGGUCGGGUCAUGGGGUCGUGAUGGGGAAGGGGAUGCACCUCUCGUCACGUUCUCGCCAACGUUAGACCCCAGAUUGAAAGGAAUCAUUAUCGUGCUAUCGUUCAUUUUGUUCAAUAUCCACUAUUAAAAAUGUCGGCGAUCUGGCAGCCCAUCUAUUGAAUUACAUAUUAUUUAAUUACUGUAAUUAAACAUACGAAUAGGAAAAUGUCAACAUCUGCGGAUUUCACAUCAGGAUUAUCUAAAAAAUAUAUUCUGGAAGGCAGUGGUCAUGGAGUUGAUAUCGAUAUGGAACGCUGUAAUAUUGGGAUGCUGUUUCCUCACACUCGCAUGUGGCAAGGGAUUCACAGCACACAGACCCGAAUAAAUUUUUGCAUUGGUCAGUAAAUGGAAGGCAAUUCUCAUGCAACUCUGUUAAAUAUUGAACACAAUUUGGGGGGUUUGGGUUUUAAAAGUAGUAGAAUCGUAGUUUGCGAACCACAGGCUGUGGUUCAAGCAUUAAUCCGUCAGAUACAUAAUCACAAGACUUAGUUAUAACA